AUGCCUGCUCGAGCGUCAUUAUAACCCUCAAGCCUAGCUUGGUGUUGGGGCAUGCUUUUGCAGCCCUUAAAAUCAGUGGCAGUGCCUGUCGGCUCUAAGCGUAGUAAUACUCCUCGCUAUAGACCUCGGUAGAUACGCGCCAGAACCCCAAAUUUUCUAUGGUUGACCUCGGAUCAGGUAGGGAUACCCGCUGGACUUAA
RNAcentral lists this unclassified non-coding RNA (200 nucleotides) under soil metagenome. RNAcentral describes it as "partial contains internal transcribed spacer 2 and large subunit ribosomal RNA". The record is from RNAcentral.